CCACUGCUGAGGAGUCCCAUACCAGGACGAAACGGCCGUCUAGUGC
RNAcentral lists this non-coding RNA (46 nucleotides) under Schistosoma mansoni. Lineage: Eukaryota; Metazoa; Platyhelminthes; Trematoda; Strigeidida; Schistosomatidae. The record is from RNAcentral.